GGAAAGGUGGCUGAGAGGUUAAAGGCGCUAGUUUGGAAGACUAGUUGGUAUUUUGCCAACGUGAGUUCGAAUCUCACUCUUUCC
This 84-nucleotide transfer RNA is filed under the name Chromochloris zofingiensis. Its description in RNAcentral is "tRNA-Ser". It matches the Rfam family "tRNA". From Rfam's summary of the family: Transfer RNA (tRNA) molecules are approximately 80 nucleotides in length. Their secondary structure includes four short double-helical elements and three loops (D, anti-codon, and T loops). Further hydrogen bonds mediate the characteristic L-shaped molecular structure. tRNAs have two regions of fundamental functional importance: the anti-codon, which is responsible for specific mRNA codon recognition, and the 3' end, to which the tRNAs corresponding amino acid is attached (by aminoacyl-tRNA synthetases). tRNAs cope with the degeneracy of the genetic code in two manners: having more than one tRNA (with a specific anti-codon) for a particular amino acid; and 'wobble' base-pairing, i.e. permitting non-standard base-pairing at the 3rd anti-codon position. Lineage: Eukaryota; Viridiplantae; Chlorophyta; Chlorophyceae; Sphaeropleales; Chromochloridaceae. The record is from RNAcentral.